AUACGGAGGAUGCGAGCGUUAUCCGGAUUUAUUGGGUUUAAAGGGAGCGUAGGUGGGAUAUUAAGUCAGCUGUGAAAGUUUGGGGCUCAACCUUAAAAUUGCAGUUGAUACUGGUUUCCUUGAGUACAGUAGAGGUGGGCGGAAUUCGUGGUGUAGCGGUGAAAUGCUUAGAUAUCACGAAGAACUCCGAUUGCGAAGGCAGCUCACUAGACUGUUACUGACACUGAUGCUCGAAAGUGUGGGUAUCAAACAGGAUUAGAUACCCUGGUAGUCCACACAGUAAACGAUGAAUACUCGCUGUUUGCGAUAUACAGUAAGCGGCCAAGCGAAAGCAUUAAGUAUUCCACCUGGGGAGUACGCCGGCAACGGUGAAACUCAAAGGAAUUGACGGGG
RNAcentral lists this ribosomal RNA (393 nucleotides) under uncultured bacterium. RNAcentral's name for it is "partial 16S ribosomal RNA". It matches the Rfam family "Bacterial small subunit ribosomal RNA", at positions 523 to 918 of the family's 1533-position model. The record is from RNAcentral.